AACGAACGCUGGCGGCAUGCCUAACACAUGCAAGUCGAACGAGACCUUCGGGUCUAGUGGCGCACGGGUGCGUAACGCGUGGGAACCUGCCCUUAGGUUCGGAAUAACUCCCCGAAAGGGGUGCUAAUACCGGAUAAUGUCUUCGGACCAAAGAUUUAUCGCUUUUGGAUGGGCCCGCGUUGGAUUAGCUAGUUGGUAGGGUAAAAGCCUACCAAGGCGACGAUCCAUAGCUGGUCUGAGAGGAUGAUCAGCCACACUGGGACUGAGACACGGCCCAGACUCCUACGGGAGGCAGCAGUGGGGAAUAUUGGACGAUGGGCGAAAGCCUGAUCCAGCAAUGCCGCGUGAGUGAUGAAGGCCCUAGGGUUGUAAAGCUCUUUUACCCGAGAUGAUAAUGACAGUACCGGGAGAAUAAGCACCGGCUAACUCCGUG
This 433-nucleotide ribosomal RNA is filed under the name uncultured bacterium. Its description in RNAcentral is "partial 16S ribosomal RNA". It matches the Rfam family "Bacterial small subunit ribosomal RNA", at positions 29 to 507 of the family's 1533-position model. The record is from RNAcentral.